RNAcentral lists this non-coding RNA (89 nucleotides) under Pseudomonas tolaasii NCPPB 2192. Lineage: Bacteria; Pseudomonadati; Pseudomonadota; Gammaproteobacteria; Pseudomonadales; Pseudomonadaceae. The record is from RNAcentral.
UGUGGGAGCGGGCUUGCCCGCGAUAGCGGUAUGUCAAUCAGCACAUCUGUGGCUGAGACACCGCAAUCGCGGGCAAGCCCGCUCCCACA